This 2916-nucleotide ribosomal RNA is filed under the name Klebsiella michiganensis. Its description in RNAcentral is "partial 23S ribosomal RNA". It matches the Rfam family "Bacterial large subunit ribosomal RNA". The record is from RNAcentral. Lineage: Bacteria; Pseudomonadati; Pseudomonadota; Gammaproteobacteria; Enterobacterales; Enterobacteriaceae.
UAAGCGACUAAGCGUACACGGUGGAUGCCCUGGCAGUCAGAGGCGAUGAAGGACGUGCUAAUCUGCGAAAAGCGUCGGUAAGGUGAUAUGAACCGUUAUAGCCGGCGAUGUCCGAAUGGGGAAACCCAGUGCAAUUCGUUGCACUAUCGUUAACUGAAUACAUAGGUUAACGAGGCGAACCGGGGGAACUGAAACAUCUAAGUACCCCGAGGAAAAGAAAUCAACCGAGAUUCCCCCAGUAGCGGCGAGCGAACGGGGAGCAGCCCGGAGUCUGAAUCAGCUUGUGUGUUAGUGGAAGCGUCUGGAAAGUCGCAGGGUACAGGGUGAUACUCCCGUACACUAAAACACACAGGUUGUGAACUCGAAGAGUAGGGCGGGACACGUGGUAUCCUGUCUGAAUAUGGGGGGACCAUCCUCCAAGGCUAAAUACUCCUGACUGACCGAUAGUGAACCAGUACCGUGAGGGAAAGGCGAAAAGAACCCCGGCGAGGGGAGUGAAAAAGAACCUGAAACCGUGUACGUACAAGCAGUAGGAGCCCACUUGUUGGGUGACUGCGUACCUUUUGUAUAAUGGGUCAGCGACUUAUAUUCUGUAGCAAGGUUAACCGUAUAGGGGAGCCGCAGGGAAACCGAGUCUUAACUGGGCGCUAAGUUGCAGGGUAUAGACCCGAAACCCGGUGAUCUAGCCAUGGGCAGGUUGAAGGUUGGGUAACACUAACUGGAGGACCGAACCGACUAAUGUUGAAAAAUUAGCGGAUGACUUGUGGCUGGGGGUGAAAGGCCAAUCAAACCGGGAGAUAGCUGGUUCUCCCCGAAAGCUAUUUAGGUAGCGCCUCGUGAACUCAUCUUCGGGGGUAGAGCACUGUUUCGGCUAGGGGGUCAUCCCGACUUACCAACCCGAUGCAAACUACGAAUACCGAAGAAUGUUAUCACGGGAGACACACGGCGGGUGCUAACGUCCGUCGUGAAGAGGGAAACAACCCAGACCGCCAGCUAAGGUCCCAAAGUCAUGGUUAAGUGGGAAACGAUGUGGGAAGGCCCAGACAGCCAGGAUGUUGGCUUAGAAGCAGCCAUCAUUUAAAGAAAGCGUAAUAGCUCACUGGUCGAGUCGGCCUGCGCGGAAGAUGUAACGGGGCUAAACCAUGCACCGAAGCUGCGGCAGCGACGCUUAUGCGUUGUUGGGUAGGGGAGCGUUCUGUAAGCCGUUGAAGGUGGCCUGUGAGGGUUGCUGGAGGUAUCAGAAGUGCGAAUGCUGACAUAAGUAACGAUAAUGCGGGUGAAAAACCCGCACGCCGGAAGACCAAGGGUUCCUGUCCAACGUUAAUCGGGGCAGGGUGAGUCGACCCCUAAGGCGAGGCCGAAAGGCGUAGUCGAUGGGAAACAGGUUAAUAUUCCUGUACUCGGUGUUACUGCGAAGGGGGGACGGAGAAGGCUAUGUUGGCCGGGCGACGGUUGUCCCGGUUUAAGCAUGUAGGCGGAUGUUCCAGGUAAAUCCGGAACGUCACUAACGCUGAGGUGUGAUGACGAGGCACUACGGUGCUGAAGUGACAAAUGCCCUGCUUCCAGGAAAAGCCUCUAAGCAUCAGGUAACAUCAAAUCGUACCCCAAACCGACACAGGUGGUCAGGUAGAGAAUACCAAGGCGCUUGAGAGAACUCGGGUGAAGGAACUAGGCAAAAUGGUGCCGUAACUUCGGGAGAAGGCACGCUGAUGGUAGGUGAAGUGACUUGCUCAUGGAGCUGAAAUCAGUCGAAGAUACCAGCUGGCUGCAACUGUUUAUUAAAAACACAGCACUGUGCAAACACGAAAGUGGACGUAUACGGUGUGACGCCUGCCCGGUGCCGGAAGGUUAAUUGAUGGGGUUAUCCGUAAGGAGAAGCUCUUGAUCGAAGCCCCGGUAAACGGCGGCCGUAACUAUAACGGUCCUAAGGUAGCGAAAUUCCUUGUCGGGUAAGUUCCGACCUGCACGAAUGGCGUAAUGAUGGCCAGGCUGUCUCCACCCGAGACUCAGUGAAAUUGAACUCGCUGUGAAGAUGCAGUGUACCCGCGGCAAGACGGAAAGACCCCGUGAACCUUUACUAUAGCUUGACACUGAACACUGGUCCUUGAUGUGUAGGAUAGGUGGGAGGCUUUGAAGUGUGGACGCCAGUCUGCAUGGAGCCAUCCUUGAAAUACCACCCUUUAAUGGCUGGUGUUCUAACGUGGGCCCCUAAUCGGGGUUGCGGACAGUGUCUGGUGGGUAGUUUGACUGGGGCGGUCUCCUCCUAAAGAGUAACGGAGGAGCACGAAGGUCAGCUAAUCCUGGUCGGACAUCAGGAGGUUAGUGCAAUGGCAUAAGCUGGCUUGACUGCGAGCGUGACGGCGCGAGCAGGUGCGAAAGCAGGUCAUAGUGAUCCGGUGGUUCUGAAUGGAAGGGCCAUCGCUCAACGGAUAAAAGGUACUCCGGGGAUAACAGGCUGAUACCGCCCAAGAGUUCAUAUCGACGGCGGUGUUUGGCACCUCGAUGUCGGCUCAUCACAUCCUGGGGCUGAAGUAGGUCCCAAGGGUAUGGCUGUUCGCCAUUUAAAGUGGUACGCGAGCUGGGUUUAGAACGUCGUGAGACAGUUCGGUCCCUAUCUGCCGUGGGCGCUGGAGAAUUGAGGGGGGCUGCUCCUAGUACGAGAGGACCGGAGUGGACGCAUCACUGGUGUUCGGGUUGUCAUGCCAAUGGCAUUGCCCGGUAGCUAAAUGCGGAAGAGAUAAGUGCUGAAAGCAUCUAAGCACGAAACUUGCCCCGAGAUGAGUUCUCCCUGACUCCUUGAGAGUCCUGAAGGAACGUUGAAGACGACGACGUUGAUAGGCCGGGUGUGUAAGCGCAGCGAUGCGUUGAGCUAACCGGUACUAAUGAACCGUGAGGCUUAACCUUACAACGCCGAAG